UACAGAGGGUGCGAGCGUUAAUCGGAAUUACUGGGCGUAAAGCGUGCGUAGACGGUUAUUUAAGUCGGAUGUGAAAGCCCCGGGCUCAACCUGGGAAUUGCAUUCGAGACUGAAUAGCUAGGGUGCGGUAGAGGGAAGCGGAAUUUCCGGUGUAGCGGUGAAAUGCGUAGAUAUCGGAAGGAACAUCAGUGGCGAAAGCGGCUUCCUGGACCAGCACCGACGUUCAGGCACGAAAGCAUGGGGAUCAAACAGG
This 253-nucleotide ribosomal RNA is filed under the name uncultured bacterium. Its description in RNAcentral is "partial 16S ribosomal RNA". It matches the Rfam family "Bacterial small subunit ribosomal RNA", at positions 524 to 776 of the family's 1533-position model. The record is from RNAcentral.